GCGGAAGGAUCAUUGUCGAAAGCUUGUAGCAUAGUGACUUGAGAACUUGUACAAAUAUAACUCUUUUUUUGGGGCCAUCUUUUGGUAAGACCUCGAUGAACAAAAACUCCGACGCAGCAGCGCCAAGGAAUUUUAUAAUGAGAUUCGCACAGUUCGUUUCUAGUGACUGUGUGUGUUGUCUUUUUAUUUAAAAUGACUCUCGGCAAUGGAUAUCUCGGCUCUUGCAUCGAUGAAGAACGUAGCGAAAUGCGAUACGUGGUGUGAAUUGCAGAAUCCCGUGAACCAUCGAAUCUUUGAACGCAAGUUGCGCCCAAAGCCAUUAGGUUGAGGGCACGUUUGCUUGGGUGUCAUCUGCAUUAUGUCGUCCCUCUCGUGUUUUGGAGUGGGCGUGGAACAUGGCCUCCCGGGCCCAUCCUUGUGUGUGGUUGGCCGAAAACUUUGUCCCUGAUGGUGUUCAAUGUCUCGGCGUGCGGUGGAUGUACCAAGUGUGCGUAAUGGCGCGCCUUGCAUGGCCAUAUUGUGGCGGUUAGACCCAAUUAAAAUGUCGGUGUUGGCUCUUUGAUUGCGACCCCAAGUC
RNAcentral lists this ribosomal RNA (577 nucleotides) under Cuscuta costaricensis. RNAcentral's name for it is "eukaryotic LSU rRNA". The stretch from base 195 to 350 matches the Rfam family "5.8S ribosomal RNA". The record is from RNAcentral. Lineage: Eukaryota; Viridiplantae; Streptophyta; Magnoliopsida; Solanales; Convolvulaceae.